This 226-nucleotide long non-coding RNA is filed under the name Olea europaea subsp. europaea. Lineage: Eukaryota; Viridiplantae; Streptophyta; Magnoliopsida; Lamiales; Oleaceae. The record is from RNAcentral.
AGGAAAGGCCCAAACCCAAUCCCAGGGAAUAGUGAAACUUCAUGGGAUCUUUCUGUCCAGGCGCAGGUAGUCCGCAUCUUCACAGACAUGUCUAUUUCACCGAGCCUCUCUUCGAGACAGUGCCCAGAUCGUUACGCCUUUUGUGCGGCCACACUAGGACUGAGACACUGCCCAGACUCCUACGAGAGGCAACAGUGGGAAAUUUUUUGCAAUGGGCUAAGGCCUA